UACGUAGGGCGCAAGCGUUAUCCGGAAUUAUUGGGCGUAAAGAGCUCGUAGGCGGUUUGUCGCGUCUGCCGUGAAAGUCCGGGGCUCAACUCCGGAUCUGCGGUGGGUACGGGCAGACUAGAGUGAUGUAGGGGAGACUGGAAUUCCUGGUGUAGCGGUGAAAUGCGCAGAGUAUCAGGAGGAACACCGAUGGCGAAGGCAGGUCUCUGGGCCGAUACUGACGCUGAGGAGCGAAAGCGUGGGGAGCGAACAGG
Molecule: ribosomal RNA, 254 nt
Filed under: uncultured bacterium
Lineage: Bacteria
Description: partial 16S ribosomal RNA
Rfam family: Bacterial small subunit ribosomal RNA
Source: RNAcentral